This 309-nucleotide long non-coding RNA is filed under the name Pan troglodytes (chimpanzee). RNAcentral's name for it is "lincRNA". The record is from RNAcentral. Lineage: Eukaryota; Metazoa; Chordata; Mammalia; Primates; Hominidae.
CUGGGGACAAGGGCAGGGCUAAGAGGGACGAGAGAGCCAGGAAAGUCCAGGCCAAGGGUGCCUCUUGAACCUUGUGGCUGAGGGGAGCAGGCUGUUGGGAUGAUCAGCAGACAUGGAAAGUCCUUCCAGCUCUACCCCUGUGUAUUUCCCAGCGAAUGCUCUCGGAUUUUAGGACUUACCUCCUAAAAUUUUCACUUGGUCUAAAGCAAAAGGCCCCAGGCUUUCUGCCAGGAGCUGCAACUUUUCAUCUGAUGAGGAGAUGAAGAGAUGGUGCAUCAGAGAAAAGUGACAAAGGUGGCAAAGGUGUGG